GCCAGGUGUGGUGGUGCACACCUGUAGUCCCAGCUACUCAGGAGGCUGAGGCAGAAGAAUCACUUGAACCCAGGAGGCGGAGGUUGCAGUGAGCGGAGAUUGUGCCACUGUACUGCAGCCUGGGUGACAGAGUGAGACUCUGUCUCCA
RNAcentral lists this signal recognition particle RNA (148 nucleotides) under Pan troglodytes (chimpanzee). Its description in RNAcentral is "Metazoan signal recognition particle RNA". It matches the Rfam family "Metazoan signal recognition particle RNA". From Rfam's summary of the family: The signal recognition particle (SRP) is a universally conserved ribonucleoprotein. It is involved in the co-translational targeting of proteins to membranes. The eukaryotic SRP consists of a 300-nucleotide 7S RNA and six proteins: SRPs 72, 68, 54, 19, 14, and 9. Lineage: Eukaryota; Metazoa; Chordata; Mammalia; Primates; Hominidae. The record is from Rfam by way of RNAcentral.